UACGGAAGGCAGCAGUGGGGAAUAUUGCACAAUGGGCGCAAGCCUGAUGCAGCCAUGCCGCGUGUAUGAAGAAGGCCUUCGGGUUGUAAAGUACUUUCAGCGGGGAGGAAGGCGAUGCGGUUAAUAACCGCGUCGAUUGACGUUACCCGCAGAAGAAGCACCGGCUAACUCCGUGCCAGCAGCCGCGGUAAUACGGAGGGUGCAAGCGUUAAUCGGAAUUACUGGGCGUAAAGCGCACGCAGGCGGUCUGUUUAAGUCAGAUGUGAAAUCCCCGGGCUUAACCUGGGAACUGCAUUUUGAAACUGGCAGGCUUGAGUCUUGUAGAGGGGGUAGAAUUCCAGGUGUAGCGGUGAAAUGCGUAGAGAUCUGGAGGAAUACCGGUGGCGAAGGCGGCCCCUGGGACAAAGCUGACGCUCAGGUGCGAAAGCGUGGGGAGCGAAACGAGGAUUAGGAUACC
RNAcentral lists this ribosomal RNA (457 nucleotides) under uncultured bacterium. RNAcentral's name for it is "bacterial SSU rRNA". It matches the Rfam family "Bacterial small subunit ribosomal RNA", at positions 340 to 786 of the family's 1533-position model. The record is from RNAcentral.